Molecule: long non-coding RNA, 466 nt
Filed under: Brassica rapa (field mustard)
Lineage: Eukaryota; Viridiplantae; Streptophyta; Magnoliopsida; Brassicales; Brassicaceae
Description: long non-coding RNA (BRAP_LNC005183)
Source: RNAcentral
GUUUCUUCUUCUUCUACUCUUGAUGAUCAUCAACUCUUCACAAAAACAUAAUUGAUUUCUAUUCUAGUCAUUCCUCCAAUCGGAGCAUCUGAUGUUUUAAAGUAUGCAAUUCUCAGCUCCUUUUGUUUACGGUAAGAGUGAAGAAACCGAAUCGAUCGAUCUCAAUAGUAUUUUGGUUGAACUAAGACAAUUUUUCACUAUCUGCAGGUGGUCGAGCUUUCAAGUCUACUCGAUCCUUCGUCUUAACACCAGAAGGUGCCUGAAUUCCACCAAGGUUCGAUUAUUUCAUCACCAACCCAGAAUCAGACGAUGUGUUGAUUGGAGAAGAUGAACAGUAAUCUUUAUGUAGUAUGUUCUAUUCUAUAUUUCGUGGAUUUAACAAAUGGAAUAGAAUAUAUAAUUCAUGGUAAUAUAAACAGUUGUAUGCCAUCAAUAUGAAUCAACUGGUCGAGAGUUUUAUGAGGAC